RNAcentral lists this ribosomal RNA (253 nucleotides) under uncultured bacterium. RNAcentral's name for it is "partial 16S ribosomal RNA". It matches the Rfam family "Bacterial small subunit ribosomal RNA", at positions 524 to 776 of the family's 1533-position model. The record is from RNAcentral.
GACGAACCGUCCAAACGUUAUUCGGAAUCACUGGGCUUACAGAGUUCGUAGGCGGUCUGGAAAGUUGGGUGUGAAAUCCCCCGGCUCAACCGAGGAAUUGCGCUUCAAACCGGCAGGCUUGAGGAGGAUAGAGGUGGGCGGAACUGAUGGUGGAGCGGUGAAAUGCGUUGAUAUCAUCAGGAACACCGGAGGCGAAAGCGGUCCACUGGGUCCUUUCUGACGCUGAGGGACGAAAGCUAGGGGAGCGAACGGG